GCCCGAUGUUAGUGUGAGCCGCCAGGGACACAUAAAUAUGUUGACUGAUAUCUUCCUCCUUGAUGAAAACCAGGCGGGAGGAUGGAAGAAGCUGAGUAGAGAAAUGUUUGUCCUCCUUUAAUCAUGUGGUGGUUUGGCCCGUGCCCUGCUCUGACCAUCAGGAGUACUUCCUCUGUCUCCAACCUGCAGCCAGGAAGUCCUCCAACAGUAAGUUGAGAGUCUGUUUUGACACAAUGGGCACCAUCAUCAGUGUGGAGGGAAUCUCAUCACCCAGAACCAAAUCUAACAAAAGCUAAUUCCAACCAAUGUCUUGUUGUUGUUGUUGUUGUUGUUGUUGUUGUUGUUAGAUAGAGGGGAUAGAGGGGAUACAGGCCAGGCCAGAGGUGGAUAGAGGGGAUACAGGCCAGGUCAGAGGUGGAUAGGGGGGAUACAGGCCAGGACAGAGGAGGAUAGAGGGGGAUACAGGCCAGGGCAGAGGAUAGAGGGGGAUACAGGCCAGGACAGAGGAGGAUAGAGGGGAUACAGGCCAGGACAGAGGAGGAUGGAGGGGGAUACAGGCCAGGACAGAGGAGGAUAGAGGGGAUACAGGCCAGGACAAAGGAAGCUAGAGGUGAUACAGGCCAGGUCAGAGGUGGAUAGAGGGGAUACAGGCCAGGCCAGAGGUGGAUAGAGGGGAUACAGGCCAGGACAGAGGAGGAUAGAGGGGAUACAGGCCAGGACAGAGGUGGAUAGAGGGGAUACAGGCCAUGACAGAGAAGGAUUAAGGGGACACAGGCCAGGACAGAGGAGGAUAGAGGUGCUACAGGCCAGGACAGAGGAGGAUACAGGGGAUACAGGCCAGGACAGAGGAGGAUAGAGCAGAUACAGGCCAGGACAGAGGAGGAUAGAGGGGAUACGGGCAGGAGUCAACCAUUUAUGGUUUUUCUUGAACUAUCAGACUACGGGCCCCAUUCUAGGAAAACUGGUUACCAGGUUUCCAAGACACGUAGGACAGAGCCUUUAGGUUCUAGAAACAUUAACUAAAAUGAAUAGAGCUUUUAUGGCAUCACACACAGCAACACUAGGACAAAGUUAGGCUUUUUCAGUCACAAC
Molecule: long non-coding RNA, 1092 nt
Filed under: Salmo salar (Atlantic salmon)
Lineage: Eukaryota; Metazoa; Chordata; Actinopteri; Salmoniformes; Salmonidae
Description: lncRNA (ENSSSAG00000099103.1)
Source: RNAcentral